This 73-nucleotide transfer RNA is filed under the name Vicugna pacos (alpaca). RNAcentral's name for it is "tRNA-Ala (AGC) (tRNA-Ala-AGC-14-1)". It matches the Rfam family "tRNA". From Rfam's summary of the family: Transfer RNA (tRNA) molecules are approximately 80 nucleotides in length. Their secondary structure includes four short double-helical elements and three loops (D, anti-codon, and T loops). The record is from RNAcentral. Lineage: Eukaryota; Metazoa; Chordata; Mammalia; Artiodactyla; Camelidae.
GGAGGGUGUAGCUCAGUGGUAGAGUGUGUGCUUAGCAUGCACAAGGUCCUGGGUUCAAUUCCCAGCACCUCCA